GACGAACGCUGGCGGCGUGCUUAACACAUGCAAGUCGAGCGGUAAGGCCCUUUCGGGGGUACACGAGCGGCGAACGGGUGAGUAACACGUGGGUGACCUGCCCUCAGCUCUGGGAUAAGCCUGGGAAACCGGGUCUAAUACUGGAUAUGACUCCAUGACGCAUGUUGUGGGGUGGAAAGCCUUGUGCGGCUGAGGAUGGGCCCGCGGCCUAUCAGCUUGUUGGUGGGGUGANGGCCUACCAAGGCGACGACGGGUAGCCGGCCUGAGAGGGCGACCGGCCACACUGGGACUGAGACACGGCCCAGACUCCUACGGGAGGCAGCAGUGGGGAAUCUUGCGCAAUGGGCGAAAGCCUGACGCAGCGACGCCGCGUGAGGGAUGACGGCCUGGUGUAACGUACUUCUACNCUCCGACGACGACGAGAGUGACGGUAGGAGACGAGAAG
RNAcentral lists this ribosomal RNA (445 nucleotides) under uncultured bacterium. Its description in RNAcentral is "bacterial SSU rRNA". It matches the Rfam family "Bacterial small subunit ribosomal RNA", at positions 28 to 490 of the family's 1533-position model. The record is from RNAcentral.